RNAcentral lists this small RNA (106 nucleotides) under Marmota monax (woodchuck). The record is from RNAcentral. Lineage: Eukaryota; Metazoa; Chordata; Mammalia; Rodentia; Sciuridae.
GUUAGGUGUGGUGGCACAGCCUGUAAUCCUAGCUACUUUGGAGGCUGAGGCAGGAGGAUCACAAGUUUGAGGCCAGCUUAUGAAAUGUAGUGAGACCCUGUCUCAA